Molecule: unclassified non-coding RNA, 221 nt
Filed under: Melitaea cinxia (Glanville fritillary)
Lineage: Eukaryota; Metazoa; Arthropoda; Insecta; Lepidoptera; Nymphalidae
Description: misc RNA ENSMCXG00005018250.1
Source: RNAcentral
GAAAACCGAUUACCUCUAUUGCAUUGGCAGUUGUAACUACAAUAAUAUUGGACUUUGGUCCAAUAAAAAUAGCCAUAGUAUACUAGGACUACUUCACAAAAAUUAAAGAAAAUUGUGUACACACGGUUUAUGUGUUAUUACGAGUAGCAUUACGUGAUAAUAGGACGCCAUAAGCUUAGUACUUUUUGAAUAAAAACUGUAUAACUAUAGCUACUCUAACA